This 468-nucleotide ribosomal RNA is filed under the name uncultured bacterium. RNAcentral describes it as "partial 16S ribosomal RNA". It matches the Rfam family "Bacterial small subunit ribosomal RNA", at positions 28 to 507 of the family's 1533-position model. The record is from RNAcentral.
GACGAACGCUGGCGGCGUGCUUAACACAUUCAAGUCAAACGGAAAGGCCCUGCUUUUUUGGGUUGCUCGAGUGGCGAACGUGUGUGUAACACGUUAGUAACCUGCCCUUGACUUUGGGAUAACUUCAGGAAACUCGGGCUAAUACCGGAUAGGAGCUCCUGCUGCAUGGUGGGGGUUGGAAAGUUUCGUCGGUUGGGGAUGGACUCGCGGAUUAUCAGAUUGUUGGUGGGGUAGUGGCUUACCAAGGCUUUGACGGGUAGCCGGCCUGAGAGGGUGACCGGCCACACUAGGAAGGAGAAACGCACUAGACUCAUACGGGAGGAAGCGGUGGGGAAGAUAGCAUAAUCGGCGGAAGCCUGAAGCAGCAAUGCAGGGUGCGGGAGGAAGGCCUGCGGGUUGUAAACCGCGUUCGGCGGUGAUGAGGAGUGAGUGACGGUAAAGAGUAAAGAAGCAACGGCUAAAUACGUG